This 381-nucleotide RNase P RNA is filed under the name Bacteroidales bacterium. Its description in RNAcentral is "RNase P RNA component class A". It matches the Rfam family "Bacterial RNase P class A". From Rfam's summary of the family: Ribonuclease P (RNase P) is a ubiquitous endoribonuclease, found in archaea, bacteria and eukarya as well as chloroplasts and mitochondria. Its best characterised activity is the generation of mature 5'-ends of tRNAs by cleaving the 5'-leader elements of precursor-tRNAs. Lineage: Bacteria; Pseudomonadati; Bacteroidota; Bacteroidia; Bacteroidales. The record is from RNAcentral.
UCUGCAGGCCGUUCCAUCGCGCUCUGCCUCACGGCAGGGGGAGGAAAGUCCGGGCAACAGAGAGCACCAUCCUUCCUAACGGGAAGAUAUCCGAAAGGGUAUAGCAGUGUGACAGAAAAUAACAGCCACGCUUUGCGGCGGGGAAUUGGUGAAAAGGUGAGGUAAAAGCUCACCGGUUCCGGCGGCGACGCCGGAAGCCGCACACCUGAUGGGUUGAAAGACCAUGUAUACCGGCGCUUUAGGGCUGCUCGCCCGAGCCGGGGGGUAGGUCGUUAGACCCUGCAAGCAAUUGCAGGGCCAGAUAAAUGAUGGAACCUGGGUACAAUCCUCUUGCAGGAUGACACACAAGGACAGGAUCCGGCUUACAGGCCUGCUGCAAAA